CGGCUCAGUAACACGUGGAUAACCUACCCUCAGAUCUGGGAUAACUCCGGGAAACUGGAGAUAAUACCGGAUAAUCCGUGAACGCUGGAAUGCCUUACGGUUGAAAGCUUUAGCGUCUGAGGAUGGGUCUGCGGCCGAUUAGGUAGUUGCUGGGGUAACGUCCCAACAAGCCGAUAAUCGGUACGGGUUGUGAGAGCAAGAGCCCGGAGAUGGAUUCUGAGACACGAAUCCAGGUCCUACGGGGCGCAGCAGGCGCGAAAACUUUACACUGCGCGAAAGCGCGAUAAGGGGACCUCGAGUGCGUGCGCAAUGCGUACGCUUUUCAGAUGCCUAAAAAGCAUCUGGAAUAAGGGCCGGGCAAGACCGGUGCCAGCCGCCGCGGUAACACCGGCGGCUCAAGUGGUGGCCGCUAUUAUUGGGCUUAAAGGGUCCGUAGCCGGACCAGUUAGUCCCUUGGGAAAUCUUACGGCUUAACCGUGAGGCUGCCAAUGGAUACUGCUGGUCUUGGGACCGGGAGAGGCAAGAGGUACCUCAGGGGUAGGAGUGAAAUCCUGUAAUCCUUGAGGGACCG
This 571-nucleotide ribosomal RNA is filed under the name uncultured euryarchaeote. RNAcentral's name for it is "bacterial SSU rRNA". It matches the Rfam family "Archaeal small subunit ribosomal RNA", at positions 83 to 659 of the family's 1478-position model. Lineage: Archaea; Methanobacteriati; Methanobacteriota. The record is from RNAcentral.